GAUCGUCUUGCACGCCAUGGAAUCAAGCAUGACUCCGACUGCUCACCCUGCUCUCAGGAACCGAAGACCCUGCACCACCUCCUGGUGGGUUGCGCCUUCUCCAAGAUCACAUGUCACGAGAUCCUAUCCUGGUGUCGAGCGACUAUCACACCACCAGACGGAUCAACCACCUUCUUCACCUGGUGGUCUGACUCCAUCGACAGUUCCCCCGCAGGCCUACACAAAGGCAUCGGCACCAUCAUCAGCCUCACUGCAUGGCUCCUCUGGAAACAUCGCAAUGUUUGCGUCUUCGACGGCGCGCAUCCCUCCAAUGCGGUGCUUGCCCGCGACAUCAAACAAGAGGCCCAUCUAUGGGCGCGAGCUGGAGCCACCGGCCUGGCCAACAUACUCCAU
Molecule: ribosomal RNA, 393 nt
Filed under: Triticum aestivum (bread wheat)
Lineage: Eukaryota; Viridiplantae; Streptophyta; Magnoliopsida; Poales; Poaceae
Description: partial small subunit ribosomal RNA
Source: RNAcentral